GCCUUCGUGGUGUAGUGGUCAGCAUGCUCGACGCGUAACCGAGAGGUCCGUGGUUCGAGUCCUGGCGAAGGCC
RNAcentral lists this transfer RNA (73 nucleotides) under Stegodyphus mimosarum. It matches the Rfam family "tRNA". Rfam says of the family: Transfer RNA (tRNA) molecules are approximately 80 nucleotides in length. The record is from Rfam by way of RNAcentral. Lineage: Eukaryota; Metazoa; Arthropoda; Arachnida; Araneae; Eresidae.